This is a non-coding RNA of Phrynosoma platyrhinos (Desert horned lizard), 71 nucleotides long. The record is from the annotation of a GenBank genome assembly. Lineage: Eukaryota; Metazoa; Chordata; Lepidosauria; Squamata; Phrynosomatidae.
GUCAAUGUGGCAUAGUGGUUUGAGUGUUGGACUACGACUCUGAAGACCAGAGUUUGAUUCCCUACUUGGUA